RNAcentral lists this ribosomal RNA (454 nucleotides) under Parvimonas micra. RNAcentral describes it as "bacterial SSU rRNA". It matches the Rfam family "Bacterial small subunit ribosomal RNA", at positions 28 to 483 of the family's 1533-position model. The record is from RNAcentral. Lineage: Bacteria; Bacillati; Bacillota; Tissierellia; Tissierellales; Peptoniphilaceae.
GACGAACGCUGGCGGCGUGCUUAACACAUGCAAGUCGAACGUGAUUUUUAAGGAAAGCCCUUCGGGGUGGGAAUUAAAAUGAAAGUGGCGAACGGGUGAGUAACACGUGAGCAACCUACCUUACACAGGGGGAUAGCCGUUGGAAACGACGAUUAAUACCGCAUGAGACCACAGAAUCGCAUGAUAUAGGGGUCAAAGAUUUAUCGGUGUAAGAAGGGCUCGCGUCUGAUUAGCUAGUUGGAAGGGUAAAGGCCUACCAAGGCGACGAUCAGUAGCCGGUCUGAGAGGAUGAACGGCCACAUUGGAACUGAGACACGGUCCAAACUCCUACGGGAGGCAGCAGUGGGGAAUAUUGCACAAUGGGGGGAACCCUGAUGCAGCGACGCCGCGUGAGCGAAGAAGGUUUUCGAAUCGUAAAGCUCUGUCCUAUGAGAAGAUAAUGACGGUAUCAUAG